AGCGAACGCUGGCGGCAGGCUUAACACAUGCAAGUCGAACGAUCCUUCGGGAUAGUGGCGGACGGGUGAGUAACACGUGGGAACGUGCCUUUAGGUUCGGAACAACACAGGGAAACUUGUGCUAAUACCGGAUAAGCCCUUCGGGGGAAAGAUUUAUCGCCUUUAGAGCGGCCCGCGUCUGAUUAGCUUGUUGGUGAGGUAAAGGCUCACCAAGGCUACGAUCAGUAGCUGGUCUGAGAGGAUGGCCAGCCACAUUGGGACUGAGACACGGCCCAAACUCCUACGGGAGGCAGCAGUGGGGAAUCUUGCGCAAUGGGCGAAAGCCUGACGCAGCCAUGCCGCGUGGAUGAUGAAGGUCUUAGGAUUGUAAAAUCCUUUCAGCGGGGACGAUAAUGACGGUACCCGCAGAAGAAGCCCCGGCUAACUUCGUGCCAGCAGCCGCGGUAAUACGAAGGGGGCUAGCGUUGCUCGGAAUUACUGGGCGUAAAGGGAGCGUAGGCGGAUGUUUAAGUUGGGGGUGAAAGCCCAGGGCUCAACCCUGGAACUGCCUUCAAUACUGGACAUCUAGAGUAUGGGAGAGGUGUGUGGAACUCCGAGUGUAGAGGUGAAAUUCGUAGAUAUUCGGAAGAACACCAGUGGCGAAGGCGACACACUGGCCCAUUACUGACGCUGAGGCUCGAAAGCGUGGGGAGCAAACAGGAUUAGAUACCCUGGUAGUCCACGCUGUAAACGAUGAGUGCUAGUUGUCGGCAUGCAUGCAUGUCGGUGACGCAGCUAACGCAUUAAGCACUCCGCCUGGGGAGUACGGUCGCAAGAUUA
RNAcentral lists this ribosomal RNA (819 nucleotides) under uncultured bacterium. RNAcentral describes it as "bacterial SSU rRNA". It matches the Rfam family "Bacterial small subunit ribosomal RNA", at positions 28 to 896 of the family's 1533-position model. The record is from RNAcentral.